RNAcentral lists this ribosomal RNA (1628 nucleotides) under Hemiasterella sp. G315767. RNAcentral describes it as "eukaryotic LSU rRNA". It matches the Rfam family "Eukaryotic large subunit ribosomal RNA", at positions 401 to 1810 of the family's 3401-position model. The record is from RNAcentral. Lineage: Eukaryota; Metazoa; Porifera; Demospongiae; Tethyida; Hemiasterellidae.
AAAACCGUUAGGAGGGAAGCGAAUGCAGCUGAAGUGGUUCUCUUCCAGGCUCAGGAAGUGUCUUCUCGGUCUGCUGGCGUGCGGAAGCCGUGAGGUGCCGCGUGUCGGACGGCUGGGAGACUAAUCUGCACUCCUGGGGAGAGCCGGCCAGCGACAGUUGAUUCCGGCUCACAAGGACGGCUGGGUAGGUAGCUCCUCCUCCCGGAGGAGAACUAAUUGCCGGGCGUCUGGUAGACUGGGAGCGACUGAGGAGAGUUGUGAACUUUCACACGUGCAGUGCAGGCCCUUUUGGGCCGGGUCACCUCUAUCCGCUUGGGCACCGCUCCGGGGACUGCCCUGCAGUGUCCGCUGACGAAUGUCUGCUCGGUUGGGGGAGUGUCCACUCCUUGCACUGUAGUCGUUGGUGUCCAAAUGGCUGCAUCCGACCCGUCUUGAAACACGGACCAAGGAGUGCAACAUGCGUGCGAGUCUUGGGGUGGCAAACCCAUCGGCGCAAUGAAGGUGAAGGCAGAUUUUGGUCUGCUCAGGCAGGAGCCUCCUCCGGAGGCACACUGUCGACCGAUCCCAGGCUACGCUGUGGCGGGAUUUGAGUAAGAGCGUGCCUGUUGCGACCCGAAAGAUGGUGAACUAUGCCUGAAUAGGGUGAAGCCAGAGGAAACUCUGGUGGAAGCUCGUAGCGAUUCUGACGUGCAAAUCGAUCGUCAAAUUUGGGUAUAGGGGCGAAAGACUAAUCGAACCAUCUAGUAGCUGGUUCCCUCCGAAGUUUCCCUUAGGAUAGCUGGAGCCCGGUGCAGUUUUAUCAGGUAAAGCGAAUGAUUAGAGGUCUUGGGGUUGAAACAACCUCAACCUAUUCUCAAACUUUAAAUGGGUAAGAAGCUCGGCUUGCUCAAGUGAAGUCGGGCACUGAAUGCUGGGGCUCUUAGUGGGCCAUUUUUGGUAAGCAGAACUGGCGAUGUGGGAUGAACCAAAUGCCGGGUUAAGGUGCCCGAAUCGACGCUCAUCAGAUACCAUGAAAGGUGUUGGUUGAUCUAGACAGCAGGACGGUGGCCAUGGAAGUCGGAAUCCGCUAAGGAGUGUGUAACAACUCACCUGCCGAAUCAACUAGCCCUGAAAAUGGAUGGCGCUGAAGCGUCGUACCCAUACCCGGCCGUCAGGCCGAGCGGCCGGACCUGACGUGUAGGAGGGCGCGGUGGUGGCCGUGCAGCCUCUGGCGCGAGCCUGGGUGAAGCUGCCACCGGUGCAGAUCUUGGUGGUAGUAGCAAAUAUUCAAACGAGAGCUUUGAAGACUGAAGUGGAGAAGGGUUCCAUGUGAACAGCAGUUGGACAUGGGUUAGUCGAUCCUAAGAGAAGGGAGAGGUCCUUUUAGAAGGCGCAAUCGCUCCGGCGACCGCGCUGUUCCUCGAAAGGGAAUCGGGUUAACAUUCCCGAACCGGGAUGCGGAUAGGCCCUCGGGCCGUAAGCGGCAACGCAAGCGAACUCGGAGACGUCGGCAGGAGCCCCGGGAAGAGUUCUCUUUUCUUCUUAACGGACUGGCACCCUGGAAUCAGAUUGUCUGGAGAUAGGGUUGAAUGUCCGGUAAAGCACCACACUUGUGGUGGUGUCCGGUGCGCUCUUGACGGCCCGUGAAA